This 210-nucleotide unclassified non-coding RNA is filed under the name uncultured Ascomycota. RNAcentral's name for it is "sequence contains ITS1". Lineage: Eukaryota; Fungi; Ascomycota. The record is from RNAcentral.
GACCGUAGGCGCCGCCGGCGCCGGCCUGGCGCUCGGCUACUCCAUCGGGACGCUCGCCCGCGAGCACAUCCCCGGGCUGGCGGCCGCCGCCGACAAGGCGGCCGCGUCUCUGUGGCGACUGUUCUCGGGCCCGAGCGCCAACCUCUCCACGCUAGAGCGGGAGGUGGCGGCCGCCAACGCCAAGAUCCUCAAUGCCCCACUCACCGACCU